GAUGAAGAACGUAGCGAAAUGCGAUAAGUAAUGUGAAUUGCAGAAUUCAGUGAAUCAUCGAAUCUUUGAACGCACAUUGCGCCCCCUGGUAUUCCGGGGGGCAUGCCUGUCCGAGCGUCAUUACAACCCUCAAGCUCUCCGGAGUUUGGUGUUGGGGCGCCUGGGGCUUUUCGACCUCAGGGCCCUCAAGUCCAUCGGCGGGACCGCCAGGACACUGAGCGCAGUAGUAUUAUUUCGCUCGGUAGGAUCUUCCACGGCGGGUCGAUCUGGCCGCUAAACCCCCCAAUUCUCACCAAAGGUUGACCUCGGAUCAGGUAGGAAUACCCGCUGAACUUAAGCAUAUCAAUAAGCGGAGGA
This 357-nucleotide unclassified non-coding RNA is filed under the name soil metagenome. RNAcentral's name for it is "partial contains 5.8S ribosomal RNA, internal transcribed spacer 2, and large subunit ribosomal RNA". The stretch from base 1 to 120 matches the Rfam family "5.8S ribosomal RNA", at positions 35 to 154 of the family's 154-position model. The record is from RNAcentral.